RNAcentral lists this long non-coding RNA (1800 nucleotides) under Mytilus galloprovincialis (Mediterranean mussel). Lineage: Eukaryota; Metazoa; Mollusca; Bivalvia; Mytilida; Mytilidae. The record is from RNAcentral.
UGGUCACAUCUCGCUCAAAACGCUUGACUGAUCAAGAAUUCAAACCUCUCGGUGAAUCAGUCCAAGCGUGAGAACCCCUUCAGUAUUCUCCGGCGAAAUCCAAACAGAUUGCCAAAAGAAUUACUAAUGGGGAGGAGGUGGGUAGUAUAUCAGGUAAGUGUAACUACGUUCACAAAAUUCCAAUUUGUGAACAAAAUUGUACAAUUUUAAUAUUACUUGUUACACUUACCUGAUAUCCUUACAUUAUGGAUAUCCAUAGAUUCUAAAGCAGUCCCAACUCAAGCGGUGGACUGUAAUUCUUUUGUUCAAAUAAUGUACACUAUAUUACACUAUAUACAAAGUCUAAAUGUUUGACUUUAAACACAUUAAAUAGAUGUCUUUUUCAUCUCACACACAAAGGUUUAAAAGCUUGCAUCGCAUCUCGUCGGAUAUGAAUAGUUCCAACACUAUACAAACUAUAUUACAAGUUAAAAAACUGUACACAUUUUUCUUCUUUUUUUUCGAAUUUUAUGUAUUUUUCUUCUUUUUUUUUUUUUUUUUUUUUUUUCUUUUUACUUCGAUAAAACAUGAGGGUCUAUGUGACGUAAGUAAAAUUUGGUGAAUGUGGAUUCCCUGCUCCAAUCAGCAGCUUCCAUGAUGUUCUUCAUUGAUGCACCUUUAUAAAGAGCCCAAGAAGGACCAAUAGCUCUUGUCGAAUGAGCCUUAAUAGAUUUCUUUUUGUCGUUAUAUGCCAUCUGAAUGGUACUCACAAUCCAUGAUGAAAUUGUUUGACUUGAAAUUGGCUUAUGUGGAUUACUGAUUGCUAAGAACAAUUUACUAUCUUGUCUGUUUUCACCACGAAAAUUGUCAGUGCUCUUUAAAUAGUACGUUAAUGCCCUUUUAGGGUCAAGAAGCUUUUCUGCAUCAAAGGCAGGUACAAAAAUCUUAGCACCAAAAUGUCCAGGACGGUCUUGUUUUGACAAUCCUUCUCUAAUAAAAUAAACUCCUCUGCUAUGUACAGAUAUAUUUCCAUCUCCCAAACGUAAGGCCUGUAUAUCACUGCAACGCCUGAAAGUAGUGAUAGCAAUUAAAAAUACAGUUUUCCAUGUGAUAAACUUGAGUUCAGCCUUUUUCAUUGGUUCAAAAGGCUUUUUCUUUAACAUUUCAAGUAUUUUAUCUAAAUUCCAUUCAGGAAGUAGUUUGACCCUGGGAGGCCUUGAAUUGAAAACACCCUUCAAUAAACGAAUAAUGUAUGGGUGUUGACCUACUGGUAUUUUUUCAACUGGGGGUAAAACACUUGAUAACAUAGAUCUGUAGCCCCCAAUCGUACUAUACUGGAGACCACUGGUAUACAGACUUGUAAGAAAAUCUGCAGUUUCUGUUAAAGAGGCAGAAUAGGGAUCAAUUUCCCUUUCACUACACCAGCCACAGAAUUUUUUGAACUUACUAGAAUAGUCCUUUUGAGUUCCUGUUCUCCAAGAAGCUGACAUGAGUUGUCUAGUUUCUUUAGAAAAGCCUCUCUUUUUGAAAAUUCUGUUGAUAGAGGCCAUGCAACCAGACUGAAUAUUUCUGGGCUUGGAUGGUAUAUUUUUGUUCUUGGCUGAUGUAGUAGAUUUUUUUGAACUGGUAUUUUUAUGGGAUAAUCUGAUAUCAUUUUUAGCAGUUCUGGGUACCAGUGUCUCCUUGGCCAAUGAGGAGCUACAAGAAUUAGCUGGCAAUUGUACCGAUUCAUGUGUUGGAGCACUUUCGGUACUAGACAGAUCGGAGGAAAUGCAUACCCGAUUACAUUGUCCCACGGUAUGGACAGAGCAUCUAUUGCAU